RNAcentral lists this ribosomal RNA (255 nucleotides) under uncultured bacterium. RNAcentral's name for it is "partial 16S ribosomal RNA". It matches the Rfam family "Bacterial small subunit ribosomal RNA", at positions 524 to 776 of the family's 1533-position model. The record is from RNAcentral.
GACGAACCGUGCGAACGUUGUUCGGAAUCACUGGGCUUAAAGGGAGCGUAGGCGGGCUAUCAAGUCUGGGGUGAAAUCCCGCGGCUCAACCGCGGAACUGCCUCAGAUACUGACGGCCUCGAGGGAGAUAGGGGGCAUGCGGAACUGUAGGUGGAGCGGUGAAAUGCGUUGAUAUCUACAGGAACUCCGGUGGCGAAAGCGGCGUGCUGGAUCUCUUCUGACGCUGAGGCUCGAAAGCUAGGGGGAGCAAACGGG